This 243-nucleotide non-coding RNA is filed under the name Enterococcus sp. RNAcentral's name for it is "T-box sequence". It matches the Rfam family "T-box leader". Rfam says of the family: Uncharged tRNA acts as the effector for transcription antitermination of genes in the T-box leader family. T-boxes are found upstream of many aminoacyl-tRNA synthetase genes and some amino acid biosynthetic genes usually in Gram-positive bacteria. The record is from RNAcentral. Lineage: Bacteria; Bacillati; Bacillota; Bacilli; Lactobacillales; Enterococcaceae.
CCAAAACAUAGGAUCAGAACAAGUACUCCUCGAUCAUUUCCUGACAGAGAUUUCUUCAUUUGCUGAAAGAAGAAACUGGAAACCGUUGACGAACACAUCUGAUUUGUCAGUUUCUGAAGUCAGUAAGAAGCUGCGGUAUUCUCCGUUAUCAGAAAAGAGUUUUUAAACAGCAUAAAACUCUAUGAGGUCAAUAUUGUGAGAUAUUGAUAAAUUGAGGUGGAACCACGUAUUUUCGUCCUCUUG